GUUGGUGCAGCUUAGUGGUUGAGCGCUCGUUUACCAAACGAGAGGUCGAUGGUUCGAUUCCAUCCACCAACA
This is a transfer RNA of Phytophthora ramorum (sudden oak death agent), 72 nucleotides long. It matches the Rfam family "tRNA". From Rfam's summary of the family: Transfer RNA (tRNA) molecules are approximately 80 nucleotides in length. Their secondary structure includes four short double-helical elements and three loops (D, anti-codon, and T loops). Further hydrogen bonds mediate the characteristic L-shaped molecular structure. tRNAs have two regions of fundamental functional importance: the anti-codon, which is responsible for specific mRNA codon recognition, and the 3' end, to which the tRNAs corresponding amino acid is attached (by aminoacyl-tRNA synthetases). tRNAs cope with the degeneracy of the genetic code in two manners: having more than one tRNA (with a specific anti-codon) for a particular amino acid; and 'wobble' base-pairing, i.e. permitting non-standard base-pairing at the 3rd anti-codon position. Lineage: Eukaryota; Oomycota; Peronosporomycetes; Peronosporales; Peronosporaceae. The record is from Rfam.